UGCUCAGGAUGAACGCUGGCGGCGUGCUUAACACAUGCAAGUCGAACGAGCCUUCGGGCUAGUGGCGGACGGGUGAGUAACGCGUGAGAAUCUGCCCUCAGGAGGGGGAUAACGGCUGGAAACGGCCGCUAAUACCCCAUAUGCCGCGAGGUGAAAUGAGAAAUCGCCUGAGGAUGAGCUCGCGUCUGAUUAGCUAGUUGGUGGGGUAAUAGCCUACCAAGGCAUCGAUCAGUAGCUGGUCUGAGAGGAUGAUCAGCCACACUGGGACUGAGACACGGCCCAGACUCCUACGGGAGGCAGCAGUGGGGAAUUUUCCGCAAUGGGCGCAAGCCUGACGGAGCAACGCCGCGUGAGGGAUGAAGGCCUCUGGGCUGUAAACCUCUUUUCUCAAGGAAGAAGAACUGACGGUACUUGAGGAAUAAGCCACGGCUAAUUCCGUGCCAGCAGCCGCGGUAAUACGGGAGUGGCAAGCGUUAUCCGGAAUUAUUGGGCGUAAAGCGUCCGCAGGCGGUCUUGAAAGUCUGUUGUUAAAGCGUGGAGCUCAACUCCAUUUCAGCAAUGGAAACUAGAAGACUAGAGUGUGGUAGGGGCAGAGGGAAUUCCCGGUGUAGCGGUGAAAUGCGUAGAUAUCGGGAAGAACACCAGUGGCGAAGGCGCUCUGCUGGGCCAUAACUGACGCUCAUGGACGAAAGCCAGGGGAGCGAAAGGGAUUAGAUACCCCUGUAGUCCUGGCCGUAAACGAUGAACACUAGGUGUCGGGGGAAUCGACCCCCUCGGUGUCGUAGCCAACGCGUUAAGUGUUCCGCCUGGGGAGUACGCACGCAAGUGUGAAACUCAAAGGAAUUGACGGGGGCCCGCACAAGCGGUGGAGUAUGUGGUUUAAUUCGAUGCAACGCGAAGAACCUUACCAGGGUUUGACAUCCUGCGAAUCUUUUGGAAACAGAAGAGUGCCUUCGGGAGCGCAGAGACAGGUGGUGCAUGGCUGUCGUCAGCUCGUGUCGUGAGAUGUUGGGUUAAGUCCCGCAACGAGCGCAACCCACGUCUUUAGUUGCCAGCAUUGAGUUGGGCACUCUAGAGAGACCGCCGGUGAUAAACCGGAGGAAGGUGUGGAUGACGUCAAGUCAUCAUGCCCCUUACAUCCUGGGCUACACACGUACUACAAUGCUACGGACAGAGGGCAGCAAACUCGCGAGAGCUAGCAAAUCCCAUAAACCGUGGCUCAGUUCAGAUCGUAGGCUGCAACUCGCCUACGUGAAGGAGGAAUCGCUAGUAAUCGCAGGUCAGCAUACUGCGGUGAAUACGUUCCCGGGCCUUGUACACACCGCCCGUCACACCAUGGAAGUUGGCCAUGCCCGAAGU
This 1359-nucleotide ribosomal RNA is filed under the name Synechococcus sp. LEGE 10378. RNAcentral describes it as "bacterial SSU rRNA". It matches the Rfam family "Bacterial small subunit ribosomal RNA". The record is from RNAcentral. Lineage: Bacteria; Bacillati; Cyanobacteriota; Cyanophyceae; Synechococcales; Synechococcaceae.